This 253-nucleotide ribosomal RNA is filed under the name uncultured bacterium. Its description in RNAcentral is "partial 16S ribosomal RNA". It matches the Rfam family "Bacterial small subunit ribosomal RNA", at positions 524 to 776 of the family's 1533-position model. The record is from RNAcentral.
UACGGAGGGAGCUAGCGUUGUUCGGAAUUACUGGGCGUAAAGCGCGCGUAGGCGGCUUUGUAAGUUAGAGGUGAAAGCCUGGAGCUCAACUUCAGAAUUGCCUUUAAGACUGCAUCGCUUGAAUCCGGGAGAGGUGAGUGGAAUUCCGAGUGUAGAGGUGAAAUUCGUAGAUAUUCGGAAGAACACCAGUGGCGAAGGCGGCUCACUGGACCGGCAUUGACGCUGAGGUGCGGAAGCGUGGGGAGCAAACAGG